Molecule: ribosomal RNA, 329 nt
Filed under: uncultured Paenibacillus sp.
Lineage: Bacteria; Bacillati; Bacillota; Bacilli; Caryophanales; Paenibacillaceae
Description: bacterial SSU rRNA
Rfam family: Bacterial small subunit ribosomal RNA
Source: RNAcentral
AGCUCGUGUCGUGAGAUUGUUGGGUUUAAGUCCCCGCAACGAGCGCAACCCCUGUGGUUAGUUGCCAGCAAGUAGCGUUUGGGCACUCUAGCCAGACUGCCGGUGAUAAUCGGAGGAAGGUGGGGACGACGUCAAAUCAUCAUGCCCUUUAUGUCCUGGGCUACACACGUACUACAAUGGCCGUUACAACGGGAAGCGAAGGAGCAAUCCGGAGCAAAUCCCUUAAAGGCGGUCCCAGUUCAGAUUGUGGGCUGAAACUCGCCCACAUGAAGGCGGAAUUGCUAGUAAUUGCAGAUCAGCAUGCUGCAGUGAAUACGUUCCCGGGCCUU